GUGCUAGCUUCGGCAGCACAUAUACUAAAAUUGGAACGAUACAGAGAAGAUUAGCAUGGCCCCUGCUGUUUUUAAUUGUCCCAAAAUAUUCAACAAGUAAAUAAUAUUUUA
Molecule: small nuclear RNA, 111 nt
Organism: Sorex fumeus (smoky shrew)
Lineage: Eukaryota; Metazoa; Chordata; Mammalia; Eulipotyphla; Soricidae
Source: RefSeq, a predicted model, not a curated record